Molecule: ribosomal RNA, 478 nt
Filed under: uncultured bacterium
Lineage: Bacteria
Description: partial 16S ribosomal RNA
Rfam family: Bacterial small subunit ribosomal RNA
Source: RNAcentral
GACGAACGCUGGCGGCGUGCUUAACACAUGCAAGUCGAACGGUAAGGCCCUUCGGGGUACACGAGUGGCGAACGGGUGAGUAACACGUGGGUGAUCUGCCCUGCACUUCGGGAUAAGCCUGGGAAACUGGGUCUAAUACCGGAUAGGACCACUGCCUGCAUGGGGGGUGGUGGAAAGCUUUUGCGGUGUGGGAUGGGCCCGCGGCCUAUCAGCUUGUUGGUGGGGGGAUGGCCUAACAAGGCGACGACGGGUAGCCGGCCUGAGAGGGUGGCCGGCGACACUGGGACUGGGAUACGGCCCAGACUCCUACGGGAGGCAGCAGUGGGGAAUAUUGCACAAUGGGCGCAAGCCUGAUGCAGCGACGCCGCGUGAGGGAUGACGGCCUUCGGGUUGUAAACCUCUUUCAGCACCGACGAAGCGCAAGUGACGGUAGGUGCAGAAGAAGGACCGGCCAAUUACGUGCCAGCCGCCGCGGUAA